UAUAGGAGGCGCAUAUGUGCGAAGCACAUAUUCAGGAUGCGCCGACGACAUGCCGCCGAACGAAUGUGAGGGGGCAACACCACAA
Molecule: non-coding RNA, 85 nt
Organism: Clostridium sp. CAG:127
Lineage: Bacteria; Bacillati; Bacillota; Clostridia; Eubacteriales; Clostridiaceae
Source: Rfam